GCCUUCGUGGUGUAGUGGUCUGCAUGAUCGACGCGUAACCGAGAGGUCGGUGGUUCGAUUCCCGGCGAAGGCG
Non-coding RNA from Stegodyphus mimosarum, 73 nucleotides. The record is from Rfam. Lineage: Eukaryota; Metazoa; Arthropoda; Arachnida; Araneae; Eresidae.